RNAcentral lists this microRNA (23 nucleotides) under Gorilla gorilla (western gorilla). RNAcentral's name for it is "ggo-miR-188". Its record names the gene ggo-miR-188. Lineage: Eukaryota; Metazoa; Chordata; Mammalia; Primates; Hominidae. RNAcentral also lists the same sequence under 1 other name. The record is from miRBase by way of RNAcentral.
CAUCCCUUGCAUGGUGGAGGGUG